UAGGUUAUCCUAAAGAAAGUAUAGGAUACCUCUUUUACCACCCUAAUGGACAAAAGGUGUUUAUCAGUAAACAUGCUACUUUUAUAAAAAAAGAAUUUAUCCUAGAAAGAGGUAGUGGGAAAAAAUUGAACUUAGAAAAAUUCAAGACCUAUAGAUAAAAAUACAAGAUAAUCUUCAACCAGAAGUAUCCAUUGAAGAAGUACAACCACAAAAUACACCUUCUCUUUGA
RNAcentral lists this long non-coding RNA (229 nucleotides) under Elaeis guineensis (African oil palm). RNAcentral describes it as "long non-coding RNA (EGUI_LNC057422)". The record is from RNAcentral. Lineage: Eukaryota; Viridiplantae; Streptophyta; Magnoliopsida; Arecales; Arecaceae.